UGGGGAAUAUCGCACAAUGGGCGCAAGCCUGAUGCAGCCAUGCCGCGUGUAUGAAGAAGGCCUUCGGGUUGUAAAGUACUUUCAGCGGGGAGGAAGGGAGUAAAGUUAAUACCUUUGCUCAUUGACGUUACCCGCAGAAGAAGCACCGGCUAACUCCGUGCCAGCAGCCGCGGUAAUACGGAGGGUGCAAGCGUUAAUCGGAAUUACUGGGCGUAAAGCGCACGCAGGCGGUCUGUCAAGUCGGAUGUGAAAUCCCCGGGCUUAACCUGGGAACUGCAUUCGAAACUGGCAGGCUAGAGUCUUGUAGAGGGGGGUAGAAUUCCAGGUGUAGCGGUGAAAUGCGUAGAGAUCUGGAGGAAUACCGGUGGCGAAGGCGGCCCCCUGGACAAAGACUGACGCUCAGGUGCGAAAGCGUGGGGAGCAAACAGG
Molecule: ribosomal RNA, 429 nt
Filed under: Chloroflexota bacterium
Lineage: Bacteria; Bacillati; Chloroflexota
Description: Chloroflexi bacterium partial 16S ribosomal RNA
Rfam family: Bacterial small subunit ribosomal RNA
Source: RNAcentral